Molecule: ribosomal RNA, 99 nt
Filed under: Escherichia coli
Lineage: Bacteria; Pseudomonadati; Pseudomonadota; Gammaproteobacteria; Enterobacterales; Enterobacteriaceae
Description: partial 23S ribosomal RNA
Source: RNAcentral
UUGAAGACGACGCGUUGAUAGGCGGGUGUGUAAGCGCAGCGAUGCGUUGAGCUAACCGGUACUAAUGAACCGUGAGGCUUAACCUUACAACGCCGAAGC